AGCUCUGUGUGUGUUAAAGAAAAAAACUACACUGCUGAUCAUAACAUGCAGGAGCUAAUCUAGGUAAGCAGUUAAGCAAUUAAGUUUGGACCACACCCAGUGAGGUGUGGCUGUUUGUGUAUUAGCUUCUGCUCCUGCUUUUGGUUUCGCUUUUGCUUUUGGAUCUCUCUCUUUUGGAAGAAGAGGCUGAAGAAGCCAUGCUCUUUGUAUUGCAAUGCUUCUUGGAUCUUGAAAUGCUUACAAGGGCUAUGUGCAGUUGUGAAAAUACCUUUACAUAUUUAUGGAAGAAUACUAAAAAUGUAAGUAAAAUGACUACACAUGCUGUUAAAAAUUAAAAGAAAAAUCACAACUGACUAUUGUUAAACACUACCUGCGUGCCAUUACAAUUUCAUUCUGAUCUUUUUAAAAAGCAGCACAUUAUUCCUUAGAAAUAUUUUUACAUGAAUAUUUUAACUGCAGGUUAAAAGAAGAAAAGUGGGGGGAAAGGAGAGAUCUAGCUAAAGAAAGACACCAAUCCUUUUUAAAGGUUAUCUUCUAUUAAAUGUUCAAAAUAAAAUACAACCUGCAGACUGUUUCACUUACUACAGAUGAGAUCCACAAAACUGGGCUAGCAAAAUGGGUGGAUUAAACUGUUUUGGAUCCAAAGAGACUCAACAUGGAUCUUUCUGGACACAGCCCUGGUGUGUCCCCUGCUUUUGGAGCACUGUUUUAAGGAAAUUGUAGCAGGAAGGCAGGGCAUACAAGUCUGUAAAGAAUACCAUGUGUAGCCCUUUGGACCCUACCUUUUCAGUUAAAUGCAUCGCCUUAAUUUAUUUGUGAACGACAUUUUC
Molecule: long non-coding RNA, 830 nt
Filed under: Anolis carolinensis (green anole)
Lineage: Eukaryota; Metazoa; Chordata; Lepidosauria; Squamata; Anolidae
Description: lncRNA (ENSACAG00000044915.1)
Source: RNAcentral